Molecule: ribosomal RNA, 808 nt
Filed under: Dactylanthus antarcticus
Lineage: Eukaryota; Metazoa; Cnidaria; Anthozoa; Actiniaria; Ptychodactiidae
Description: partial 12S ribosomal RNA
Rfam family: Bacterial small subunit ribosomal RNA
Source: RNAcentral
ACUCACAUAGAGGCAGCAGUAGAGAAUCUUGUGCAAUAAACGAAAGUAUGACACAGAGAGGACACAUUUAAUUGAGCCCGUCAAAUUAAGUGCCAGCCGACGCGGUUAAACUUAAGGGCUGGUUUUUAUAAGUAAAAAGGCGUAAAGGAUGUGUAGGCUAAGAAACGAUCCAAGUAGGUAAAUGGAAUUUUUCUGGAGCGGUAGAAUGUGAAGAUAGAAAAUAGAACCCCUAAGGUAAAAACUAUUUACUACAAGGUAGGCUGAAACAUGAGAGUGUGGGGAGCAAACAGGAUUAGAGACCCUGGUAGUCCACACUGUGAACUUUGAAGAUGAUGCUUAGCAGACCCGAAAGGUAAAAUCUUCCGCCUGAGUAGUACGAUCGCAAGAUUAAAAUUCAAAAACUUUGGCUGUUCACUAUUUCGAUUAGAGGAGCGUGUAGUUUAAUUCGAUGGUCCGCGUGUUACCUUACCCCAACUUGAAUCUGUGACCGGUAUUGCAUGGCCGUCGUAAGUUCGUGUAUUAAGCUAGAAGGGACCCAACCCGGGCAUUUGCCCGGAGGAAGUCAGGUCUUAUGAUCCGAAUGUUGGGGGAUUUUAUGCGCUACAUUUUCUUAUAUAAUGAGAAACCUGGAAGGUGAGUCUCUAAAGUAAGAGUUCGGAAGGUCGCUGUAAAACGACUGGAAGUUGGAUUUAAUAGUAAUCGGAAAGUAGGGCGUUCCGGUGAACUGGUACAAGUGUUAGCACAAAUUGCCCGUCACCUUUACUUAGAAGGUUGUUCGGACGUCUUCGGUGAUUACGAAUGCCUACGA